GCGGUCGUGGCGAAAUUGGUAGACGCACUACCUUGAGGUGGUAGCGAGUAAAAUCAUGGGAGUUCAAGUCUCCCCGACCGCACCA
RNAcentral lists this transfer RNA (85 nucleotides) under Rickettsiales bacterium. Its description in RNAcentral is "tRNA-Leu". It matches the Rfam family "tRNA". From Rfam's summary of the family: Transfer RNA (tRNA) molecules are approximately 80 nucleotides in length. Their secondary structure includes four short double-helical elements and three loops (D, anti-codon, and T loops). Lineage: Bacteria; Pseudomonadati; Pseudomonadota; Alphaproteobacteria; Rickettsiales. The record is from RNAcentral.